GGGAGACCAAGGCGGGCGGAUCACUUGAGGUCAGGAGUUCAAGACCAGCCUGGCCAACAUGGUGAAACCCCGUCUCUACUAAAAUACAAAAAUUAGCCGGGCGUGGUGGCGGGCGCCUGUAAUCCCAGCUACUCAGGAGACUGAGGCAGGAGAAUCGCUUGAACCCGGGAGGCGGAGGUUGCAGUGAGCUGAGAUCACGCCAUUGCACUCCAGCC
Molecule: long non-coding RNA, 215 nt
Filed under: Homo sapiens (human)
Lineage: Eukaryota; Metazoa; Chordata; Mammalia; Primates; Hominidae
Description: HSALNT0406799
Source: RNAcentral